UAAUACAGAGGGUGCAAGCGUUAAUCGGAAUUACUGGGCGUAAAGCGCGCGUAGGCGGUUGUAUAAGUUGGAGGUGAAAUCCCCGGGCUCAACCUGGGAAUUGCCUUCAAAACUGUACGGCUAGAGUGUGGGAGAGGAAGGUAGAAUUCCAGGUGUAGCGGUGAAAUGCGUAGAUAUCUGGAGGAAUACCGAUGGCGAAGGCAGCCUUCUGGCCUAACACUGACGCUGAGGUGCGAAAGCAUGGGGAGCAAACAGG
This 256-nucleotide ribosomal RNA is filed under the name uncultured bacterium. RNAcentral describes it as "partial 16S ribosomal RNA". It matches the Rfam family "Bacterial small subunit ribosomal RNA", at positions 521 to 776 of the family's 1533-position model. The record is from RNAcentral.